GACCUACGACCAUACCAUGCUGAAUACACCGGUUCUCGUCCGAUCCCCGAAGUUAAGUAGCAUCGGGCCCGGUUAGUACUAAGAUGGGAGACCGCUUUGGAAUACCGGGUGUUGUAGGCUU
RNAcentral lists this ribosomal RNA (121 nucleotides) under Paracentrotus lividus (common urchin). The record is from RNAcentral. Lineage: Eukaryota; Metazoa; Echinodermata; Echinoidea; Camarodonta; Echinidae.